GAUGAACGCUGGCGGCGUGCUUAACACAUGCGAGUCGAACGAUGAAGCCCAGCUUGCUGGGUGGAUUAGUGGCGAACGGGUGAGUAACACGUGAGUAACCUGCCCUUGACUCUGGGAUGAGCCUGGGAAACUGGGUCUAAUACUGGAUAUGACUUCUCAUCGCAUGGUGGGGGGUGGAAAGAUUUAUUGGUCUUGGAUGGACUCGCGGCCUAUCAGCUUGUUGGUGAGGUAAUGGCUCACCAAGGCGACGACGGGUAGCCGGCCUGAGAGGGUGACCGGCCACACUGGGACUGAGACACGGCCCAGACUCCUACGGGAGGCAGCAGUGGGGAAUAUUGCACAAUGGGCGCAAGCCUGAUGCAGCGACGCCGCGUGAGGGAUGACGGCCUUCGGGUUGUAAACCUCUUUCAGUAGGGAAGAAGCGAGAGUGACGGUACCUGCAGAAGAAGCGCCGGCUAACUACGUG
Molecule: ribosomal RNA, 466 nt
Filed under: uncultured bacterium
Lineage: Bacteria
Description: partial 16S ribosomal RNA
Rfam family: Bacterial small subunit ribosomal RNA
Source: RNAcentral